AACUAUUGCGUUAUGAUUAGGUGAUCAUCACCCAUUACCUAAUCACAUAUGCAACACCAACACGACAGGGGAAAAGAGAAGAAGCCGACAAGGACUCCAACAAGCAAAUAUUAUCCAGAUUGACGCGCGGACGCUGACCAAUUCAGAGAGGUAAAUCUACUACAUGAUCUCCAAACAACCUAAAGCUUCCGGGCAUAUAGAAGCAAAAUUAUCGAAUAUCACUGCAGAACUAGAAACAAAUUUUAAGGCACACAAUCUGUCGCUUACCAUACCCCCAAGUCUUAGAAGAAGAAGAAAAAUAUCAUACAGUUCGUAAAAUUGAAGCCCUAACCGUAGGAUUCGAAGAAUUCAACUAAUGCUAAUAAAUUGAAUCCCUAGAUUAUCAAUUCAAUAACCACACAUCGAAAUUAAUUCAAGAGAGUAAAAGAAGCUGGGAGGUAAUUUACCAAACGAAUUUCCGAGAUUGAGCAGCCGAGGAAGCGUCGGUUGAGCCGGGCGGCAGAACAAUGCAACGGAGAGCCGAGGCGGAGCAGCG
This 535-nucleotide long non-coding RNA is filed under the name Setaria italica (foxtail millet). RNAcentral's name for it is "long non-coding RNA (SITA_LNC005256)". Lineage: Eukaryota; Viridiplantae; Streptophyta; Magnoliopsida; Poales; Poaceae. The record is from RNAcentral.